AGCGAACGCUGGCGGCAGGCCUAACACAUGCAAGUCGAGCGCGCCCUUCGGGGUGAGCGGCGGACGGGUGAGUAACGCGUGGGAACGUGCCCUUUUCUACGGAAUAGCCUCGGGAAACUGAGAGUAAUACCGUAUACGCCCUUUGGGGGAAAGAUUUAUCGGAAAAGGAUCGGCCCGCGUUGGAUUAGGUAGUUGGUGGGGUAAUGGCCUACCAAGCCGACGAUCCAUAGCUGGUUUGAGAGGAUGAUCAGCCACACUGGGACUGAGACACGGCCCAGACUCCUACGGGAGGCAGCAGUGGGGAAUCUUAGACAAUGGGGGCAACCCUGAUCUAGCCAUGCCGCGUGAGUGAUGAAGGCCUUAGGGUUGUAAAGCUCUUUCAGCUGGGAAGAUAAUGACGGUACCAGCAGAAGAAGCCCCGGCUAACUCCGUG
This 433-nucleotide ribosomal RNA is filed under the name uncultured bacterium. RNAcentral describes it as "partial 16S ribosomal RNA". It matches the Rfam family "Bacterial small subunit ribosomal RNA", at positions 29 to 507 of the family's 1533-position model. The record is from RNAcentral.